AAAUGCGAUAAGUAAUGUGAAUUGCAGAAUUCAGUGAAUCAUCGAAUCUUUGAACGCACCUUGCGCUCCCUGGUAUUCCUUGGAGCAUGCCUGUUUGAGUAUCAUGAAAUCUUCAAAGUAAAUCUUUUGUUAACUCAAUUGGUUUCUACUUUGGUAUUGGAGGUCUUUGCAGCUUCACACCUGCUCCUCUUUGUUCAUUAGCUGGAUCUCAGUGUUAUGCUUGGUUCCACUCGGCGUGAUAAGUUAUCUAUCGCUGAGGACACUGUAAAAGGUGGCCAAGGUAAAUGCAGAUGAACCGCUUCUAAUAGUCCAUUGACUUGGACAAUACUUUUAUGAUCUGAUCUCAAAUCAGGUAGGACUACCCGCUGAACUUAAGC
Molecule: unclassified non-coding RNA, 377 nt
Filed under: plant metagenome
Description: partial contains 5.8S ribosomal RNA, internal transcribed spacer 2, and large subunit ribosomal RNA
Rfam family: 5.8S ribosomal RNA (bases 1-104)
Source: RNAcentral